Molecule: long non-coding RNA, 852 nt
Organism: Branchiostoma belcheri (Belcher's lancelet)
Lineage: Eukaryota; Metazoa; Chordata; Leptocardii; Amphioxiformes; Branchiostomatidae
Exons: 2
Source: RefSeq, a predicted model, not a curated record
UUUCAAAUCUGUCAGUUGGAGUGGACGUCACUCUAUGUUUGAGCAUUGCAGAGUGUGCACUGAGCAAUCUAAUCUUCUAUAAAAUGUCUACGGUUUCUGGAACCAUGAAAAAGGAGACGAUGAGAACUUAGCCAUCAUCCUCAGGGAAAAGUACGGCUGGAAGAAUUACCUCCCAAGCAGACUCCAAGAGCAAGACUACCGCUAGGCUGAGCAGAAACAUGCACGGGGAACCCUGCCAGAUAGCCCGACGCCACCCGGCGUCUCUCGCCAAGGACGGAAGAUUUUUCAUCAAAUGGAGAGGGGACAUAGAAAGCAAGACAGCGGGACCGGACAACAUACACACAAGAGACAAAUCCCCGAGCCCACUGAAAGCGUCGAGGGGAGAGCUAUAUCCGCCCGCGCGGAUGUCCCACUAAAAGGAAACAGCCGCUCUAGCCACUGGUAGAAACAAACGCCGGCCAGCUAAAAGUCUACACAGGAGGAUAUCCCUGGACGCUGUAUGUAAUACCAGUGAGGUCCGAUCCGGGCACUAGCCUCUACCAGGCUUUGGGAGGCGGCCGGAAACAGUAGAAAUCGGCCAAAUAGAGAGAUAAGCAUGCCAAGGGAGUUUGUCUCAACGGACAAGCCAAGGGAGUUCUCCGUUGAGACAAACUCCCUUGGCAUGCUUAUCUCUCUAUUUGGCCGACUUCUACUCUUUCCGACCGCCUCCCCAAGCCUGGUAGAGGCUAGUCGGGCACCCGUCGGCAGGUGUCCGAGGAGCCUCCCAGACAGAAGGGGGCUAUCAGCAAACGGAUCAGAAGGACUUUUACACAUGAACCGGCUGGUGAUCUAGACAAGCAUGAGCAGACAGAA